GAUGAAGAACGCAGCGUAAUGCGAUAAGUAAUGUGAAUUGCAGAAUUCAGUGAAUCAUCGAAUCUUUGAACGCACAUUGCGCCCGCCAGUAUUCUGGCGGGCAUGCCUGUUCGAGCGUCAUUACAACCCUCAGGCCCCCGGGCCUGGCGUUGGGGAUCGGCGGAAGCCCCCUGUGGGCACACGCCGUCCCUCAAAUACAGUGGCGGUCCCGCCGCAGCUUCCAUUGCGUAGUAGCUAACACCUCGCAACUGGAGAGCGGCGCGGCCAUGCCGUAAAACACCCAACUUCUGAAUGUUGACCUCGAAUCAGGUAGGAAUACCCGCUGAACUUAAGCAUAUCAAUAAGCGGAGGA
This 352-nucleotide unclassified non-coding RNA is filed under the name soil metagenome. RNAcentral's name for it is "partial contains 5.8S ribosomal RNA, internal transcribed spacer 2, and large subunit ribosomal RNA". The stretch from base 1 to 120 matches the Rfam family "5.8S ribosomal RNA", at positions 35 to 154 of the family's 154-position model. The record is from RNAcentral.